CCUACGGGAGGCAGCAGUGAGGAAUAUUGGUCAAUGGCCGGAAGGCUGAACCAGCCAUGCCGCGUGAAGGUCAGUGCCCUAUGGGCGUUAAACUUCUUUUGUGCGGGAGCAAUAAUGGUCACGUGUGGCCAGACGAGAGUACCGUACGAAUAAGCAUCGGCUAACUCCGUGCCAGCAGCCGCGGUAAUACGGGGGAUGCAAGCGUUAUCCGGAUUUAUUGGGUUUAAAGGGUGCGUAGGCUGUGAGGUAAGUCAGCGGUGAAAUGCCCCCGCUCAACGGGGUGAAGUGCCAUUGAUACUGCCUGGCUGGAAUGCGGAUGCCGUGGGAGGAAUGUGUGGUGUAGCGGUGAAAUGCAUAGAUAUCACACAGAACACCGAUUGUGAAGGCAUCUCACGAAUCCGCGAUUGACGCUGAUGCACGAAAGCGUGGGUAUCAAACAGGAUUAGAUACCCGUGUAGUC
This 460-nucleotide ribosomal RNA is filed under the name uncultured bacterium. RNAcentral describes it as "partial 16S ribosomal RNA". It matches the Rfam family "Bacterial small subunit ribosomal RNA", at positions 338 to 795 of the family's 1533-position model. The record is from RNAcentral.